AUUGAACGCUGGCGGCAGGCCUAACACAUGCCAGUCGAACGGUAACAGGAGGCAGCUUGCUGCUUCGCUGACGAGUGGCGGACGGGUGAGUAAUGUCUGGGAAACUGCCUGAUGGAGGGGGAUAACUACUGGAAACGGUAGCUAAUACCGCAUAACGUCGCAAGACCAAAGAGGGGGACCUUAGGGCCUCUUGCCAUCGGAUGUGCCCAGAUGGGAUUAGCUAGUAGGUGGGGUAACGGCUCACCUAGGCGACGAUCCCUAGCUGGUCUGAGAGGAUGACCAGCCACACUGGAACUGAGACACGGUCCAGACUCCUACGGGAGGCAGCAGUGGGGAAUAUUGCACAAUGGGCACAAGCCUGAUGCAGCCAUGCCGCGUGUAUGAAGAAGGCCUUCGGGUUGUAAAGUACUUUCAGCGGGGAGGAAGGGAGUAAAGUUAAUACCUUUGCUCAUUGACGUUACCCGCAGAAGAAGCACCGGCUAACUCCGUG
This 490-nucleotide ribosomal RNA is filed under the name uncultured bacterium. Its description in RNAcentral is "partial 16S ribosomal RNA". It matches the Rfam family "Bacterial small subunit ribosomal RNA", at positions 30 to 507 of the family's 1533-position model. The record is from RNAcentral.